CGGACGGGUGAGUAAUGUCUGGGAAACUGCCUGAUGGAGGGGGGUAACUACUGGAAACGGUAGCUAAUACCGCAUAACGUCGCAAGACCAAGAGGGGGACCUUAGGGCCUCUUGCCAUCGGAUGUGCCCAGAUGGGAUUAGCUAGUAGGUGGGGUAACGGCUCACCUAGGCGACGAUCCCUAGCUGGUCUGAGAGGAUGACCAGCCACACUGGAACUGAGACACGGUCCAG
Molecule: ribosomal RNA, 231 nt
Filed under: uncultured bacterium
Lineage: Bacteria
Description: partial 16S ribosomal RNA
Rfam family: Bacterial small subunit ribosomal RNA
Source: RNAcentral